GGCAUUGCUUUGGGAGCAGCCUUUUGUCAUCUGCAGGGUAAAAGAGGUGCUGGCUUAAAGGGCUUUGCAUCAGACCGUGAGUUACAGCAGACCUUCAGAUAGCUGUUCUGCAGAGCAUUUGUGGAUGAAAGUGUAUGAGUCAAACUGGAAUUAACUCCUUUCUAUGAGAUCUUUUAUAAUCAUGGACAGGAGCUCAGUGCCCACAGUAUCAGACUUCAGAAAAUGAGCUGUGUAUGUCAAGGAGAUGCCAUUACAAUACAGAAAGGAGCUUUGUUCCUCCUGUGCUCUCCCCGGGCUGUAUGAAGGCAUCACGGCUGGUGCCAGGCUGGGCACUCACUGCACUUCCCAGCUCAAUUCUGCUUCAGCAAAUAAGAGCUAGGUGCAAUGUGAUAGAUGCUCUGCCACCAAGUGUACGGCUGAGUGGUAAUAGAAGAUGAGAUAGAUUCCUGUGAAAUAAUAUUGCUCACUCCUGGUUUUGCUUCUAUCUAUCUGAAAUGUAAAAUAAACUGGGCAUGUUCAAAAAAAGUUUCA
RNAcentral lists this long non-coding RNA (531 nucleotides) under Phasianus colchicus (ring-necked pheasant). Its description in RNAcentral is "lncRNA (ENSPCLG00000001016.1)". The record is from RNAcentral. Lineage: Eukaryota; Metazoa; Chordata; Aves; Galliformes; Phasianidae.